CAAAAUGCGAUACGUAAUGCGAAUUGCAGAAUUCAGUGAAUCAUCAAAUCUUUGAACGCAAAUUGCACUCUCGGGAUAGGCCUGGGAGUACGCCUCUUUGAGUAUCGAUUCCAACACAACUCGCAAGCGUGCUUUUUGAAUCUUUUGAUUUGACGAGCUGCUUGCGGACAAUGAGCUUUCUCGUUGAAUUCAGCGAGAUGCUUGAAAUGCAGCGAGUGGCAUGAGUCCUAACUGGCAGCCGAUUUUGUCUCUGGUGACGAGGAUAACUUCACAUUCAUUUGUGAACCCUUCCAUCGUGACCAUUGAGAUAGAGGAAGCUGACGGGCAGAGCUCAAUAUGUCACAGAACUCUCAGAUCGUUUGCUGAACAGCGAAUGUGGUCAGAGAAACUUCUUGAACUAGAUCUCAAAUGAAGCGAGAAAACCCGCUGAACUUAAGC
Molecule: unclassified non-coding RNA, 438 nt
Filed under: plant metagenome
Description: partial contains 5.8S ribosomal RNA, internal transcribed spacer 2, and large subunit ribosomal RNA
Rfam family: 5.8S ribosomal RNA (bases 1-107)
Source: RNAcentral